GACGAACGCUGGCGGCGUGCUUAACACAUGCAAGUCGAACGGUGAAGCGCCUUCCUUUUUGGUGGGUGUGGAUGAGUGGCGAACGGGUGAGUAACACGUGAGUAACCUGCCCCCUUCUUCUGGAUAACCGCAUGAAAGUGUGGCUAAUACGGGAUAUUCUGGGUCUGUCGCAUGAUGGGUCUGGGAAAGAUAUUGUUUCGGUGGGGGAUGGGCUCGCGGCCUAUCAGCUUGUUGGUGGGGUGAUGGCCUACCAAGGCGGUGACGGGUAGCCGGCCUGAGAGGGUGGACGGUCACACUGGGACGGAGACACGGCCCAGACUCCUACGGGAGGCAGCAGUGGGGAAUAUUGCACAAUGGGCGGAAGCCUGAUGCAGCGACGCCGCGUGAGGGAUGGAGGCCUUCGGGUUGUGAACCUCUUUCGCCAGUGAAGCAGGCCUGCCUCGUUUGUGGGUGGGUUGACGGUAGCUGGAUAAGAAGCGCCGGCUAACUACGUG
RNAcentral lists this ribosomal RNA (494 nucleotides) under uncultured bacterium. Its description in RNAcentral is "partial 16S ribosomal RNA". It matches the Rfam family "Bacterial small subunit ribosomal RNA", at positions 28 to 507 of the family's 1533-position model. The record is from RNAcentral.